CCCGUUGAAAAGGUAGGGGAUGACUUGUGGAUCGGAGUGAAAGGCUAAUCAAGCUCGGAGAUAGCUGGUUCUCCUCGAAAGCUAUUUAGGUAGCGCCUCAUGUAUCACUCUGGGGGGUAGAGCACUGUUUCGGCUAGGGGGUCAUCCCGACUUACCAAACCGAUGCAAACUCCGAAUACCCAGAAGUGCCGAGCAUGGGAGACACACGGCGGGUGCUAACGUCCGUCGUGAAAAGGGAAACAACCCAGACCGCCAGCUAAGGUCCCAAAGUUGUGGUUAAGUGGUAAACGAUGUGGGAAGGCUUAGACAGCUAGGAGGUUGGCUUAGAAGCAGCCAUCCUUUAAAGAAAGCGUAAUAGCUCACUAGUCGAGUCGGCCUGCGCGGAAGAUGUAACGGGGCUCAAACCACACACCGAAGCUGCGGGUGUCACGUAAGUGACGCGGUAGAGGAGCGUUCUGUAAGCCUGUGAAGGUGAGUUGAGAAGCUUGCUGGAGGUAUCAGAAGUGCGAAUGCUGACAUGAGUAACGACAAUGGGUGUGAAAAACACCCACGCCGAAAGACCAAGGGUUCCUGCGCAACGUUAAUCGACGCAGGGUUAGUCGGUUCCUAAGGCGAGGCUGAAAAGCGUAGUCGAUGGGAAACAGGUUAAUAUUCCUGUACUUCUGGUUACUGCGAUGGAGGGACGGAGAAGGCUAGGCCAGCUUGGCGUUGGUUGUCCAAGUUUAAGGUGGUAGGCUGAAAUCUUAGGUAAAUCCGGGGUUUCAAGGCCGAGAGCUGAUGACGAGUCGUCUUUUAGAUGACGAAGUGGUUGAUGCCAUGCUUCCAAGAAAAGCUUCUAAGCUUCAGGUAACCAGGAACCGUACCCCAAACCGACACAGGUGGUCGGGUAGAGAAUACCAAGGCGCUUGAGAGAACUCGGGUGAAGGAACUAGGCAAAAUGGCACCGUAACUUCGGGAGAAGGUGCGCCGGCUAGGGUGAAGGAUUUACUCCGUAAGCUCUGGCUGGUCGAAGAUACCAGGCCGCUGCGACUGUUUAUUAAAAACACAGCACUCUGCAAACACGAAAGUGGACGUAUAGGGUGUGACGCCUGCCCGGUGCCGGAAGGUUAAUUGAUGGGGUUAGCGCAAGCGAAGCUCUUGAUCGAAGCCCCGGUAAACGGCGGCCGUAACUAUAACGGUCCUAAGGUAGCGAAAUUCCUUGUCGGGUAAGUUCCGACCUGCACGAAUGGCGUAACGAUGGCGGCGCUGUCUCCACCCGAGACUCAGUGAAAUUGAAAUCGCUGUGAAGAUGCAGUGUAUCCGCGGCUAGACGGAAAGACCCCGUGAACCUUUACUGUAGCUUUGCACUGGACUUUGAGCCUGCUUGUGUAGGAUAGGUGGGAGGCUUUGAAGCGUGGACGCCAGUUCGCGUGGAGCCAUCCUUGAAAUACCACCCUGGCAUGCUUGAGGUUCUAACUCUGGUCCGUGAUCCGGAUCGAGGACAGUGUAUGGUGGGCAGUUUGACUGGGGCGGUCUCCUCCUAAAGAGUAACGGAGGAGUACGAAGGUGCGCUCAGACCGGUCGGAAAUCGGUCGCAGAGUAUAAAGGCAAAAGCGCGCUUGACUGCGAGACAGACACGUCGAGCAGGUACGAAAGUAGGUCUUAGUGAUCCGGUGGUUCUGUAUGGAAGGGCCAUCGCUCAACGGAUAAAAGGUACUCCGGGGAUAACAGGCUGAUACCGCCCAAGAGUUCAUAUCGACGGCGGUGUUUGGCACCUCGAUGUCGGCUCAUCACAUCCUGGGGCUGAAGCCGGUCCCAAGGGUAUGGCUGUUCGCCAUUUAAAGUGGUACGCGAGCUGGGUUUAGAACGUCGUGAGACAGUUCGGUCCCUAUCUGCCGUGGACGUUUGAGAUUUGAGAGGGGCUGCUCCUAGUACGAGAGGACCGGAGUGGACGAACCUCUGGUGUUCCGGUUGUCACGCCAGUGGCAUUGCCGGGUAGCUAUGUUCGGAAAAGAUAACCGCUGAAAGCAUCUAAGCGGGAAACUUGCCUCAAGAUGAGAUCUCACUGGGAACUUGAUUCCCCUGAAGGGCCGUCGAAGACUACGACGUUGAUAGGCUGGGUGUGUAAGCGUUGU
This 2114-nucleotide ribosomal RNA is filed under the name Pseudomonas aeruginosa. Its description in RNAcentral is "bacterial LSU rRNA". It matches the Rfam family "Bacterial large subunit ribosomal RNA", at positions 785 to 2879 of the family's 2925-position model. Lineage: Bacteria; Pseudomonadati; Pseudomonadota; Gammaproteobacteria; Pseudomonadales; Pseudomonadaceae. The record is from RNAcentral.